AAAUAUUCUACGGAGCAUUCAUGGUUUGCAGAGUUAACUGUUCUGUAUUUGCUUAAGAGAAGUUUCAGUCCUAUACAUUGAAAACCAUUGUUGUCUUUUGAGCGAGAAUUGUUGAUGAUUCAUAAAGCGGGCGCAACACUUCUGGCACACUUCAUGGCUGGAGUUUUAAUGAGGCUGUCAACGGUUUCACUGAUGAGGGGUGCUCAAUGAUGGAAAAUGAUGGCAUCGAUGACAUUACUAUCCUCGUAAAUUCGUCUCCUGACAAGCUGAUGAGCCUCAACCUUCCCUUUGCAAAGGGUUUUCUUCUGUCAGCAAUAUGGUCCUAUGUGCAAAGGGCAUCAAUGCUCUUACAGAACAUACCACCCGCAAGUCGGACGUAUUUCAACACCGUAAACGAAAAUGGGGUCAGAAUAAACAUAUUGAAGUCGAAUUCAGAAGACAAUUUGACGUCGCCGAGAUCCUUUAUCACAGGGGGUUGAAGGUGAAUUAUGCAUCACUGCAUGGAAACGAACAUUUGCCAACAAUGAGAGUGGUCAGAUAUGAUCAUCUAUUCUCUUUGAGAUAACUGUUGAAGCAUUAGAA
Long non-coding RNA from Hibiscus syriacus, 582 nucleotides. RefSeq lists it as uncharacterized. The transcript has 4 exons. Lineage: Eukaryota; Viridiplantae; Streptophyta; Magnoliopsida; Malvales; Malvaceae. The record is from RefSeq and is a predicted model, not a curated record.